GCCGCUGUGGUGGAAUAGGCAGACACAAGGGACUUAAAAUCCCUCGGAGGUUAAACUCCGUACCGGUUCAAGUCCGGUCAGCGGCACCA
This 89-nucleotide transfer RNA is filed under the name Clostridiales bacterium. Its description in RNAcentral is "tRNA-Leu". It matches the Rfam family "tRNA". Rfam says of the family: Transfer RNA (tRNA) molecules are approximately 80 nucleotides in length. Their secondary structure includes four short double-helical elements and three loops (D, anti-codon, and T loops). The record is from RNAcentral. Lineage: Bacteria; Bacillati; Bacillota; Clostridia; Eubacteriales.